CACGGGGGGAGCAAGCGUUGUUCGGAAUCACUGGGCGUAAAGGGCGUGUAGGCGGUCAGGUAAGUGAGAUGUGAAAUGCUCCGGCUCACCCGGAGACCGGCAUCUCAUACUGCUUGGCUUGAGUUCGGGAGAGGAUGUGGGAAUUCCUGGUGUAGCGGUGAAAUGCGUAGAUAUCAGGAGGAACACCGGUGGCGAAGGCGCACAUCUGGCCCGAUACUGACGCUGAGGCGCGAAAGCUAGGGGAGCAAACGGG
RNAcentral lists this ribosomal RNA (253 nucleotides) under uncultured bacterium. RNAcentral's name for it is "partial 16S ribosomal RNA". It matches the Rfam family "Bacterial small subunit ribosomal RNA", at positions 524 to 776 of the family's 1533-position model. The record is from RNAcentral.